GUGUCAGCCGCCGCGGUAAGACGUAGGGAGCGAGCGUUGUCCGGAUUCAUUGGGCGUAAAGAGCGCGCAGGCGGCUUGGUAAGUCGGAUGUGAAAACCCGGAGCUCAACUCCGGGCGUGCAUCCGAAACUGCCCGGCUAGAGGUAGGUAGGGGAGAUCGGAAUUCCUGGUGUAGCGGUGGAAUGCGCAGAUAUCAGGAGGAACACCGGUGGCGAAGGCGGAUCUCUGGGCCUUACCUGACGCUCAGGCGCGAAAGCUAGGGGAGCAAACAGGAUUAGAUACCCGCGUAGUCC
This 292-nucleotide ribosomal RNA is filed under the name uncultured bacterium. Its description in RNAcentral is "partial 16S ribosomal RNA". It matches the Rfam family "Bacterial small subunit ribosomal RNA", at positions 505 to 796 of the family's 1533-position model. The record is from RNAcentral.